UUCUUUAAAUGAGGACUUGUAUCAACGGCAUCACGAGGGUUAAACUGUCUCCUUUUUCAUAUCAGUGAAACUAAUCUCCCCGUGAAGAAGCGGGGAUAAUCCUAUAAGACGAGAAGACCCCAUGGAGCUUUAAACCCAACUACACUCCUUUUUGACUUUACUUUUUAACUCCUAGGAUUUUGUAUGUUCUGGUUUUAGGUUGGGGUGACCGCGGAGCAUAAAUUAGCCUCCACAAUGAAUAGACCUUCUCUUUAUCCAAGACUUACACCUCUAAGAAUUAGUAUUCUAACAUAAAAUGAUCCGAUAUUCGAUCAACGAACCAAGUUACCCUGGGGAUAACAGCGCAAUCUACUUCAAGAGCCCCUAUCGACAAGNGGGUUUACGACCUCGAUGUUGGAUCAGGGUAUCCUAGUGGUGCAGCAGCUACUAAAGGUUCGUUUGUUCAACGAUUAAAACCCU
This 459-nucleotide ribosomal RNA is filed under the name Guibemantis liber. RNAcentral's name for it is "partial 16S ribosomal RNA". It matches the Rfam family "Bacterial large subunit ribosomal RNA", at positions 1972 to 2597 of the family's 2925-position model. Lineage: Eukaryota; Metazoa; Chordata; Amphibia; Anura; Mantellidae. The record is from RNAcentral.